GUAGGGUGCGAGCGUUAAUCGGAAUUACUGGGCGUAAAGCGUGCGCAGGCGGUUCGUUGUGUUUGCGGUGAAAGCCCCGGGCUCAACCUGGGAAUGGCCGUGAAAACUGGCGAGCUGGAGUGUGGCAGAGGGGGGUGGAAUUCCAGGUGUAGCAGUGAAAUGCGUAGAGAUCUGGAGGAACACCGAUGGCGAAGGCAGCCCCCUGGGCUGACACUGACGCUCAGGCACGAAAGCGUGGGGAGCAAACAGGAUUAGAUACCCUGGUAGUCCACGCCCUAAACGAUGGCAACUGGGUGUUGGGGGAGCGAUUCCUCGGUACCGUAGCUAACGCGUGAAGUUGCCCGCCUGGGGAGUACGGCCGCAAGGUUA
RNAcentral lists this ribosomal RNA (369 nucleotides) under uncultured bacterium. RNAcentral describes it as "bacterial SSU rRNA". It matches the Rfam family "Bacterial small subunit ribosomal RNA", at positions 527 to 896 of the family's 1533-position model. The record is from RNAcentral.